Vicia faba (fava bean) is the source of this 246-nucleotide non-coding RNA. NCBI's taxonomy places the organism in Eukaryota, Viridiplantae, Streptophyta, Magnoliopsida, Fabales, Fabaceae. The record is from the annotation of a GenBank genome assembly.
AUGAAGCACGAGGAAGUGAGUGUUGGCAAAGAAAAAGACAAGGGAAAGGAAAAAGAGGUUGUUGUUGUGUUGUGUUGUGUUGUGUUGUGUGUGUCUAUUUCUUCUAGUUUUCAAUUCUUUGAAGAUUUGACUCUAUUGUUAUUUCUUAGAAGCUGCUUCUCUUCUCUCAUUCAUGCACAACUUUGGUGGGUGGUUAUUGCUCUUAAUCAAUUGCUAAAUUUAAGAAAUAAUUUAUUAAAAUAUUGA